RNAcentral lists this ribosomal RNA (464 nucleotides) under uncultured bacterium. RNAcentral's name for it is "partial 16S ribosomal RNA". It matches the Rfam family "Bacterial small subunit ribosomal RNA", at positions 338 to 795 of the family's 1533-position model. The record is from RNAcentral.
CCUACGGGAGGCAGCAGUAGGGGAUUUUCGUCAAUGGGCGCAAGCCUGAACGAGCAAUGCCGCGUGAACGAGGAAGGUCUUCGGAUCGUAAAGUUCUGUUGAAGGGGAAAAAGAGCGGAGAGAGGAAAUGAACUCCGAUUGAUAUUACCCUUCGAGGAAGUCACGGCUAACUACGUGCCAGCAGCCGCAGUAAUACGUAGGUGGCGAGCGUUAUCUGGAAUGAUUGGGCGUAAAGGGUGCGUAGGCGGCCUGCUAAGUCUGGAGUGAAAGGUACCGGCUCAACCGGUAUAGGCUCUGGAAACUGGCGGGCUAGAGGGCAGGAGAGGGCGGUGGAACUCCAUGUGUAGCGGUAAAAUGCGUAGAGAUAUGGAAGAACACCAGUGGCGAAGGCGGCCGCCUGGCCUGUUACUGACGCUGAGGCACGAAAGCGUGGGGAGCAAAUAGGAUUAGAUACCCGUGUAGUC